GAUCAGACAAAGCACGGAGUGAAUUUGGCAUUUAUUAGAUGGCGAGAGGAGAAGUUUGUAUGAACAGUGAUUCGUUUUUUGGCUACUUUUCUACUUGACACAUAAGCGUCGAUUGUUGCAGGCUACACUACUUCAGACCUGAAAAGAGGGGUCACCACUGCUCCCUGUUAAGUGUGAAGACCGAGGCCGGUGUGCCUGUUGCAGAAUUUAAA
Long non-coding RNA from Esox lucius (northern pike), 212 nucleotides. RefSeq lists it as uncharacterized. The record is from RefSeq and is a predicted model, not a curated record. Lineage: Eukaryota; Metazoa; Chordata; Actinopteri; Esociformes; Esocidae. The transcript has 3 exons.